RNAcentral lists this ribosomal RNA (775 nucleotides) under uncultured Neocallimastigales. Its description in RNAcentral is "partial large subunit ribosomal RNA". It matches the Rfam family "Eukaryotic large subunit ribosomal RNA", at positions 24 to 648 of the family's 3401-position model. The record is from RNAcentral. Lineage: Eukaryota; Fungi; Neocallimastigomycota; Neocallimastigomycetes; Neocallimastigales.
UAUGUGAUCGUCUCUCGCAUAUCAAUAAGCGGAGGAAAAGAAACUAACGAGGAUUCCCCUAGUAACGGCGAGUGAAGCGGGAAGAGCUCAAAUUUGAAAUCUUAAAGGGUUUCCCUUUACGAAUUGUAGUUUAAAGAAGUGUUUUCUGUUGAGGUUUUGGUAAAAGUUCUUUGGAAUAGGACAUCAUAGAGGGUGAGAAUCCCGUAUUUGACCUUUACUUUCAACUUUGUGAUACACUUUCAAAGAGUCGGAUUGUUUGGGAAUGCAGUCCAAAAUGGGUGGUAAAUUUCAUCUAAAGCUAAAUAUUGGCGAGAGACCGAUAGCGAACAAGUACCGUGAGGGAAAGAUGAAAAGAACUUUGAAAAGAGAGUUAAACAGUACGUGAAAUUGUCAAAAGGGAAGCGUUUGACACCAGUGUUGUUUUUCUGAAAAUCAAUUAAAGAACUGUUUAUGCUAAGUUGUUUAGACUUUAUCAGCUAUCUGCUUAGUUUUGAGCUUUUCUUUAAUGCACUUUUCAGUUAACAAGUCAACAUCAAUUUCUUUUGCUGUAAAAAAGCUUGAGGAAGGUGGCUUGAGAUUCGUCUUAAGUGUUUAUAGCCUCUUGCCUAUGCAGUCGGAGAGAUUGAGGUCUGCAGCGUAGAUCCUUCGGGGCUAAAUGCAUUUGUGCUAAGUUAUAGCAUUUUAUAGACAACUUGUUGACUAUGAUUUGUCUUGUAGCUUACUCGCUUAUGUUAUUUUACCUACGCUUAGGAUGUUGAUCUGUAGUGCGUGCGCC